ACAGAGACGCGUAUCCUCCACCCACACAGCUGCAAAUACAUGCACACAUUGCAGCCAGUGGUUUUCAUGCAUCUCAUGUAAAAUCUGUAGCUGAGUCUGCCAUUUCUAAGUUGUGCUGUGGUCCUCGGGUUCAUCUUUUUUUAUUCCUCGUGUUGUGUCUGAUACACAAUGUCGUGGUUUAUUGGCUCUACAGUGGUGCUGGUGACGGCUUUUUGUCUGGCGUUUGGUGAAGACGCAGGGUUAGAAGUCCUUUACCUACAGAAGACUCUCACUCCAGCUAUAGGCUCAUCAGCCACACUAAAUUGUGAGGCACAUUAUGACUUUGAAAUCUGUGGUAUGGUGCAUGCUGUAUGGCAUAAUGUCACCAAUGGAAGUGUUGCACUAACUGACCCCAGGAAGUACUUCACCACAGUGAGUGAGACAGAAGUUGAAGGAAAAAGACGCAGACAGGUCGUGACAGAGAUCCUCAACGUGUCACCAGGGGACUCGGGUACCUUUCAAUGCAAGGCUAAAUGUGACAGGAAUGGAGAGUCAGCGAUGGGUCAUUUCAUCAGGAUUAAUGUCUGAGGUCAAUGAGUGAGCCGGCUCUGUUUUUCAGAUGGAUAAUUUGAUGAUUAUUUUCCAAAAAGCAUUUCAAAAACAACUAUUUGGUUUGAGUGAAUUAAUAGAACAUUUUUUUUAACCAGGUUUUAUUUCACACACAUUUUUAACUUUUGAUGUUUAAAAUUAUUUUAAAUCGAAUGUGCACACUGUAUAAUGACAAAUAAAGGCAUUCGAUUCUAUUCUAUCGAUAGUAUAACUAUCCAUCCUCUGUCUGUAAUCUCUUUAAUAUAUAGUCCUAGUUUUACUAGUCUUUAAAAUAUCUUAAUAAUAAUGCCUUAUAUAGCGCUUUUUCAGGUACUCAGACGCUUUUACAAGCGUGGCUGCCAAUUUGCGCUUACGGCCCCUUCAACCACCACACACAUUCACACUUAGGCAAUGUGGGUUAAGUGACUUGCCCAGGGACACAACAACAGCAUGUGCUCAGAUGAGGACUUGAACCAGCGACCCUCCAGUUGCGAGAUGAGCAUCUACCCACUGUUCCACUGCCCCCCUUUUCUGCUUAAUACUAAAAUUUCCAAAAACAAGGAAGGAAACAUUUAGUCCAUAAAUUGUGUCAUAUAAAAAAAGCAGCUACUUUUGUUUAAUCCUUUAUAUUAGGAGAGGCUGAUAUGAAAUAUAAAUCAGUUUUACUAUGUAUGCAUUAGGUUGUAUUUUUACUUGGGUUGUGUAUUUAGGACUAUUAUAAGCUUUUUUACAUGAUGAAUAAAAAAAAUUUGUUACUAGA
This is a long non-coding RNA of Archocentrus centrarchus (flier cichlid), 1327 nucleotides long. RefSeq lists it as uncharacterized. The transcript is spliced from 3 exons. The record is from RefSeq and is a predicted model, not a curated record. NCBI's taxonomy places the organism in Eukaryota, Metazoa, Chordata, Actinopteri, Cichliformes, Cichlidae.